AACAUGCAAGUCGAACGGUAACAGGAGAAAGCUUGCUUUCUUGCUGACGAGUGGCGGACGGGUGAGUAAUGCUUGGGAAUCUGGCUUAUGGAGGGGGAUAACUACGGGAAACUGUAGCUAAUACCGCGUAAUAUCUUCGGAUUAAAGGGUGGGACUUUCGGGCCACCUGCCAUAAGAUGAGCCCAAGUGGGAUUAGGUAGUUGGUGGGGUAAAGGCCUACCAAGCCGACGAUCUCUAGCUGGUCUGAGAGGAUGACCAGCCACACUGGAACUGAGACACGGUCCAGACUCCUACGGGAGGCAGCAGUGGGGAAUAUUGCACAAUGGGGGGAACCCUGAUGCAGCCAUGCCGCGUGAAUGAAGAAGGCCUUCGGGUUGUAAAGUUCUUUCGGUGAUGAGGAAGGUGUUUGUUUUAAUAGAACAAGCAAUUGACGUUAGUCACAGAAGAAGCACCGGCUAACUCCGUGCCAGCAGCCGCGGUAAUACGGAGGGUGCGAGCGUUAAUCGGAAUGACUGGGCGUAAAGGGCACGCAGGCGGUGACUUAAGUGAGAUGUGAAAGCCCCGAGCUUAACUUGGGAAUUGCAUUUCAUACUGGGUCGCUAGAGUAUUUUAGGGAGGGGUAGAAUUCCACGUGUAGCGGUGAAAUGCGUAGAGAUGUGGAGGAAUACCGAAGGCGAAGGCAGCCCCUUGGGAAUAUACUGACGCUCAUGUGCGAAAGCGUGGGGAGCAAACAGGAUUAGAUACCCUGGUAGUCCACGCUGUAAACGCUGUCGAUUUGGGGAUUGGGCUUAGAGCUUGGUGCCCGUAGCU
RNAcentral lists this ribosomal RNA (810 nucleotides) under uncultured bacterium. RNAcentral's name for it is "bacterial SSU rRNA". It matches the Rfam family "Bacterial small subunit ribosomal RNA", at positions 52 to 853 of the family's 1533-position model. The record is from RNAcentral.